RNAcentral lists this ribosomal RNA (373 nucleotides) under uncultured organism. RNAcentral's name for it is "partial 16S ribosomal RNA". It matches the Rfam family "Bacterial small subunit ribosomal RNA", at positions 527 to 896 of the family's 1533-position model. The record is from RNAcentral.
GUAGGUGGCAAGCGUUGUCCGGAAUUAUUGGGCGUAAAGCGCGCGCAGGUGGUUUCUUAAGUCUGAUGUGAAAGCCCACGGCUCAACCGUGGAGGGUCAUUGGAAACUGGGGAACUUGAGUGCAGAAGAGGAAAGUGGAAUUCCAAGUGUAGCGGUGAAAUGCGUAGAGAUUUGGAGGAACACCAGUGGCGAAGGCGACUUUCUGGUCUGUAACUGACACUGAGGCGCGAAAGCGUGGGGAGCAAACAGGGAUUAGAUACCCUGGUAGUCCACGCCGUAAACGAUGAGUGCUAAGUGUUAGAGGGUUUCCGCCCCUUUAGUGCUGCAGCUAACGCAUUAAGCACUCCGCCUGGGGAGUACGGUCGCAAGACUG